UUUACGGUUUCUAUUCAACAGC
RNAcentral lists this non-coding RNA (22 nucleotides) under Arabidopsis thaliana (thale cress). The record is from RNAcentral. Lineage: Eukaryota; Viridiplantae; Streptophyta; Magnoliopsida; Brassicales; Brassicaceae.